GGCGUAGGUGGCUUUGUAAGUCAGAAGUGAAAGCCCUGGGCUCAACCCGGGAAGUGCUUUUGAUACUGCGAAGCUUGAAUGUGGUAGAGGAUAGUAGAAUUCCUAGUGUAGUGGUGAAAUACGUAGAUAUUAGGAGGAAUACCUGUGGCGAAGGCGGCUAUCUGGACCAACAUUGACACUGAGGCCCGAAAGCGUGGGGAUCAAACA
This 207-nucleotide ribosomal RNA is filed under the name uncultured bacterium. Its description in RNAcentral is "partial 16S ribosomal RNA". It matches the Rfam family "Bacterial small subunit ribosomal RNA", at positions 568 to 774 of the family's 1533-position model. The record is from RNAcentral.